AGGGAUCAUUACCAGAAGCCGCGCCGGCCGCAAGGUCGGCGCCUUCGCCCAACCCUUUGUGAACCGAAUUGAUUGCCCCGGGGGACCCCGCGCGAGCGGGCCCCCGGCGGACCUCUUCAACUCUUGUUGUCCCUGCCGUCCGAGUCAUUGCAAAUGAAACAAAACUUUCAACAACGGAUCUCUUGGUUCUG
Molecule: unclassified non-coding RNA, 191 nt
Filed under: uncultured fungus
Lineage: Eukaryota; Fungi
Description: partial contains 18S rRNA, ITS1, 5.8S rRNA, ITS2 and 28S rRNA
Source: RNAcentral